UAGGAGGAAGACAAAUGCGAAGCAUUUUUAUAAAUGUCUUCCGACGAGUUGCCGCCGAACAGAGGUGAGGGGGCGUUACAA
Molecule: small RNA, 81 nt
Filed under: human gut metagenome
Description: GA-cis RNA
Rfam family: GA-cis RNA
Source: RNAcentral